This is an RNA transcript of Musa acuminata AAA Group (dessert banana), 1684 nucleotides long. It is a transcript of the gene named probable transcription factor At5g28040, with no coding region annotated. The transcript is spliced from 3 exons. NCBI's taxonomy places the organism in Eukaryota, Viridiplantae, Streptophyta, Magnoliopsida, Zingiberales, Musaceae. The record is from RefSeq and is a predicted model, not a curated record.
AACCCUAAUUUAAACUCGAAUUCGAGCCCAAACCCAAAUCACCUCUUGUUUUCCGUCCUGUACUGAUCCGUUCGCGGAAGAGCAGAAGCGGGAGCAGACAUGCGGACGGCUGAGGAAGCCGAGCAAGAGCGCGCUGUCUUCGAGGACGAAGAGGACUCCACUUCCGGGAGCGACGACAGCGAAGACGACAACGAUGGCAACGGCCGGGCCCCGCCGCCGCCUCCGCCGAUGCAAUGUCAGACGGUGCCGCUCGCCGGCAAUGUUGUCCCUUUGGCCUCCUCCCAUCAUGUCGGAGACCCUAACCCCAACCGUAUCCCUAAUACCUCCGGUCCUGCCGCCGCCGCUGCCGCCCCCCAGAACGGCGCGAACCCGGUCGUUCGUGUCUCUGCAGCCAUCUCCACUCCUUCCGGCGCUGGCCUCUUCAUUUCAUCCUCCUCUGUUCCAGUCUCCGUCGCCACUGCCUCCGAGGAGAGGAGGUCCCUCGCCGUCGUCUCCUUCGAUGAGUCCCGCCGGCUUUUCCAGCGACUUUGGACUGACGAGGAGGAGAUCAAGAUCCUCCAGAGGUUCUUGGGGUUCACCUCGAGGCGAGGUACCACCUUCGCCUCCCACCAGUACGACACCGGCCCCUUCUAUGAGGAGAUAAAGAAGCAGCUCCACUUUGAGUUCACCAAGAACCAGCUUAUUGAAAAGCUCCGCCGUCUGAAGAAGAAGUAUCGGAACUGCGUCAGUAGAAUGCGGUCCAUGGGAAAAGACUUCGCCUUUAAGGGCACCCACGAGCGGGCCAUCUAUGACAUCGCUCGCAACAUCUGGAGCGCAAGCGUCAAGAGGGCCCACGAGAGCGAUGACGAGGACCUGAAUGCCCCAAGCGCCAUCAUGUCCAACGAGAUUAUUACGGUUCCUAUUGAUGAGGGUCCUUUGAGUUCUGGUAGAACGAUCUCGAGAUCAAGAAGGCACUUGAGAAGAAGGGUGACUGAAGGGACUGCAGCUGCGGUUGCAUUUGGGGGAGUUGGCGUGGAGAAUUCCACCUCGGUGAUGCACACACCUUUUGCUUCGGCAUCCAAUGUGCCAAACAUCAUAGAGGAGACAGUGAAGAGCUGCCUCGUGCCGCUGUUUAAGGAGCUGAUAAAUUCCAUUACUGGGGGGCCUCUGGGUUCAGGAUUUAGUCCAGGGACAUCACCAUUGAACCUGCUGCCUCUGAGCCUUGAAGGUAGUUCUUUGAUGGCUCCAGGGAUGCCUGUGGAUGACAAUUGGAGAAAGCAGCAGAUUCUGGAACUGGAGAUUUACUUGAACCGGCUAGAUCUUGUAUGGGACCACAUCAAGUUGACAUUGGAUGAGCUCAAGUCUGCAGGAAGCUGAUUAAAGAUGACUUACUUUCUGUAGAAGCAAGGGAAUAGGACUGUGAUUGCAAAGCUUUUCUUCAUAGACACUCAGAUAGAAGACUGGGUAGACAACCAUUAUUGUCUGACCGGAGACAGGCUUUCUUGCUUGCAUCGACUCUGUUGGCAUUUGUCAAAGGACCAUGGACAUUGAUGCUUCAAGAUAGAUAUGGAAAUUUUGAAUCUCCCAGGUAUUUUCCUUGGACUGGAAAUUUUUAGGUACCUGUUAACUGUGAGUAUUUUGCCAAGGAUAUAAUUGUCAUUCCCUUUUCAGAAUAGAGAGCUUAAUGUGAAAAAGAAAAAAAUCA